Molecule: long non-coding RNA, 738 nt
Organism: Pogonomyrmex barbatus (red harvester ant)
Lineage: Eukaryota; Metazoa; Arthropoda; Insecta; Hymenoptera; Formicidae
Source: RefSeq, a predicted model, not a curated record
UUUUCUAGAUUAAUAACUUAAUUUACUUUUCUACUUUGAUUAAUAAAUUGAUUUUAUAUUCUCAGGAAAAUGAAAGUUGUUACAAAAAGAGACGUUAUCUAAUCUAAUCUAAUUUAUUCUUUACGGCCAUAUUCGUACUGGCAUCAGUGAUAUUUCGUUUAUCAAGCCACCUAAGUCAAUUUGUCGAAUAUUGAAUCACUCGAGACGUAAGAGUUGCGAUUGAUAUGAUGGCGGACAAUCGAAGUAGCGCAGCAAUUUGUUGUUCGCAAUCCAACGAACAAAUACGUCAAUUUAAUUCAAUCCGUCAUAUUAUUUUCGGAUGGGACAAAUUCAAUUUAACAGUGUGGUCACUACUAUUAAUACUCUUCUGCAUUUGGGCCAUAGCAUUUUUUACUGUAUACGCACCGCUACCAGAAAAAAAUGAACAUGAUCAUGCUCAUCAUUGAAUAAAUAACAUUUAUGGAGAAAUAAAAUAUAAUUACUGAAGGAUGAAUAAAAACAUAACUGAACAGAUAGCUCAAGGCUGAAUUAUUGGAUUACUAUGAAUUAAAAAAAUUUAACAAAUAUUAAAAAUCAAUUAUUUUUUUACAGUUAUAUUUAAAAUAAUAAAUUUUAAAUAAUAAAGAAGAAACAAAUAAUUAGUGUGAUGAAUGAUUUAUAAUAGAAUAUAUUGGGAAUAUCUUAUACAAUUGCUAUUAUAAUAAAAGUUAAAAAUAAAAUUUUCAUCAUUAUAUUUAA